RNAcentral lists this ribosomal RNA (419 nucleotides) under bacterium. RNAcentral's name for it is "partial 16S ribosomal RNA". It matches the Rfam family "Bacterial small subunit ribosomal RNA", at positions 355 to 776 of the family's 1533-position model. The record is from RNAcentral.
UGGGGGAUAUUGCACAAUGGGCGAAAGCCUGAUGCAGCGACGCCGCGUGGGGGAUGAAGGCCUUCGGGUUGUAAACUUCUUUUGCUCUGAACAAGGCAUGCUAAUGGGUGUGUUGAGUGUAGGGGUUGAUUAGCGCCGGCUAACUACGUACCAGCAGCCGCGGUAAUACGUAGGGCGCGAGCGUUGUCCGGAAUUAUUGGGCGUAAAGGGCUUGUAGGUGGCUGGUUGCGUCUGUCGUGAAAGCUCAUGGCUUAACUGUGGGUUUGCGGUGGGUACGGGCUGGCUUGAGUGCAGUAGGGGAGGCUGGAAUUCCUGGUGUAGCGGUGGAAUGCGCAGAUAUCAGGAGGAAUACCGGUGGCGAAGGCGGGUCUCUGGGCUGUUACUGACACUGAGGAGCGAAAGCAUGGGGAGCGAACAGG